GGGAKCAAACAGGAUUAGAUACCCUGGUAGUCCACGCCGURAACGAUGAUCAUUAGUCGGUGGAGAAUCACUGACGCAGCUAACGCAUUAAAUGAUCCGCCUGAGUAGUAUGCUCGCAAGAGUGAAACUUAAAGGAAUUGACGGGGACCCGCACAAGCGGUGKUGAGCAUGUGGUUUAAUUUGAAGAUACACGGAAAACCUUACCCACUCKUGAMAUCCUUCGCAAAGCUAUAGAGAUAUAGUGGAGGUUAACAGAGUGACMGAUGGUGCAA
RNAcentral lists this ribosomal RNA (272 nucleotides) under Metamycoplasma hominis. RNAcentral's name for it is "Mycoplasma hominis partial 16S ribosomal RNA". It matches the Rfam family "Bacterial small subunit ribosomal RNA", at positions 764 to 1046 of the family's 1533-position model. Lineage: Bacteria; Bacillati; Mycoplasmatota; Mycoplasmoidales; Metamycoplasmataceae. The record is from RNAcentral.